UACGUAGGGCGCAAGCGUUGUCCGGAAUUAUUGGGCGUAAAGAGCUCGUAGGCGGUCUGUCGCGUCGGAUGUGAAAGCCCGGGGCUUAACUCCGGGUCUGCAUUCGAUACGGGCAGACUAGAGUGUGGUAGGGGAGAUCGGAAUUCCUGGUGUAGCGGUGAAAUGCGCAGAUAUCAGGAGGAACACCGGUGGCGAAGGCGGAUCUCUGGGCCAUUACUGACGCUGAGGAGCGAAAGCGUGGGGAGCGAACAGG
Molecule: ribosomal RNA, 253 nt
Filed under: uncultured bacterium
Lineage: Bacteria
Description: partial 16S ribosomal RNA
Rfam family: Bacterial small subunit ribosomal RNA
Source: RNAcentral